Molecule: transfer RNA, 64 nt
Filed under: Sclerogryllus punctatus
Lineage: Eukaryota; Metazoa; Arthropoda; Insecta; Orthoptera; Gryllidae
Description: tRNA-Pro
Source: RNAcentral
CAGAGAAUAGUUUAGUAUAAAAUAUUAGUUUUGGGUAUUAAUGAUGGAUUUGAUCCUUCUCUGA